UACGUAGGGUGCGAGCGUUGUCCGGAAUUAUUGGGCGUAAAGGGCUCGUAGGCGGUUUGUCGCGUCGGGAGUGAAAUCCACUGGCUUAACUGGUGGCUUGCUUUCGAUACGGGCAGACUGGAGGUAUGCAGGGGAGAACGGAAUUCCUGGUGUAGCGGUGAAAUGCGCAGAUAUCAGGAGGAACACCGGUGGCGAAGGCGGCAUCCUGGACCGACACUGACGCUGAGGAGCGAAAGCCAGGGGAGCAAACGGG
Molecule: ribosomal RNA, 253 nt
Filed under: uncultured bacterium
Lineage: Bacteria
Description: partial 16S ribosomal RNA
Rfam family: Bacterial small subunit ribosomal RNA
Source: RNAcentral